This 2480-nucleotide long non-coding RNA is filed under the name Nicotiana tabacum (common tobacco). RNAcentral's name for it is "long non-coding RNA (NTAB_LNC006082)". The record is from RNAcentral. Lineage: Eukaryota; Viridiplantae; Streptophyta; Magnoliopsida; Solanales; Solanaceae.
AGAGUCGUUGACACUUCACCGGAGGAAAAUUAAAAGAGGGCUUUUUAGCGUCGAUAAAGAAUUGGACUCCUAUUUAUUUUUUCCCGUCCAAAGGACUUUUGAAAGAGAAAGGAAUUUUUUAAACUUUCUUUCUCUGAUUUUUUCAAUUUCUUACCCUUGCAAAUUGUAAUUCACAUCUCAUCUCCCAUUUUCUUGCUUCAGGUAAUUAUUUCUGCUGAUCUGACAAUUUCCAUUGUCUUGUAGGGAUCGAUUUUUUUUGCUAUAAAGAUCAUAAAAUUCGAUUCUUUCUUCACAUUCCCUAUGUGGGUUUUUAUUUGUUCCACUGCCGUUAGCUUGUUCAAUUUGGUAUUCUAUAGAUUGUUUCGGUUUGAAAUUUUUUGCUGAGCUUGGUAGUGAGUGGAACUUCUUUUACUCCAGUUGAAUUUGGUACAUUUUGGAUUGUCUUUUUAUUUCUCUGUGGAAAAAUUUAGUUAAGUUCUGGAUGUGAUGAAUGUAGCUUUUUUUUCCCCUUGAGUUCAAUUGGUACUCUUUAGUUUCUUUUGUUUGUUUGAAAAACUCAGCUAAUGGUGUGUGAUUUAUGUCUGCACUAGAAAUUUGCGUAGGCUGAAGAUUAGCCUACAGGCCAUAACAUUAAUUUUUGAACACCUUUUUUAGUGAAUUAGAAUUGGGACUUACAUUUACUAGAUAAUUGUGCCGGAUUUCGAGAGGCUUUUUAUUGGUUCACCUCAUUUUGUUCCCUUUUCCUUUUCCAACUUUAAGUUGAGAAUUAGAAGCUAUAACCCGAUUCAAAUCAAACUGAUUCUGAAGUUUAUAGUCAAGUAUUGAGUGAAAUUUCCUAAUUCUUACUGCCUAACUUAACCUCCAACUUGGGAAAAUCAUGAAGCUUGAUAAGAUCAUUCAUCAUUUGAGUCUCCAAGUUUUUAGUGUUGCAGAUGUUGUAGAUACUAUUUUUCUGUUAGUACUAAUAAUUCAUUUAUAUUAGCGUACAAGAGGGUCGUAUAUAUAUGAGUUCUGAACUUUUAGAUACUAGAGAUUUGGAUAAAAGCUCUUCUACUCAAGGAAAAGGCAAAUGUGCUUCUUUGUGAACUUGCUCACCCUUGCAUCCUUUUUAUUCUGUAGUACAUAUUUGGCGUGUUGAAAGUUGUUGGAGCUCCUAUUACCGAAGGACAUGUUACUGGACACUUUUAGCUUACUUUCUUGUGAGGUCUAGUAUUGUUAAAAAUUGAAAAAAUUGUUCAGGUGCAUUUCACGUGACUAUAAAUCAUCUCAUUAAGGAAAAAAUGAGAAGUUUAAAGCUACAUUCUUUCCAAAUAUAGAAAGGGGUCAUUCUUUUUUAAACUGACCGAAAAGGAAAUAGGUUCAUUAUUUUUGAAACGGAAGGAGUAUUUGUUUUGUACUUAUUUUAGAAUUCAAUCAUGUAGUGAAACGUUCUUGAUAUCUCCACGAUUUGUUGGUGUAUGUUGCUUUGCAGGUUUUGCAUUUAGGGCUUGUCUGCUAAAUUGCCUAAUUGCUAAUUUUAAAAAGUGUAUUUGUUUGUUACUUUAGUAGAUAGUAUCGGAUGACUAGUCUAGUUAUUAGAACGUGUUUGCAAUUCCUCUGUUUGACCUGCUUUUUUAUUUGAUGAGUAGCAGGACUAUUUUACGGCAUCUCUUCUUCUCUCGCGCAUAGCUCUACAGAGGUAGAACGGAAUUAGGAAGAAAAGAUGCUCUCAGGUUCUUCAAUAACUUCUAUUUCUGCUUAUCCUUCUUUAUACAUAGUACUUACACCUUUCUUAAGAGGGUUGAGCACACGGGGUGUGUCACUGUGUAUGAGCCAUAAUAGCCAGAACUCCAAACUAUCAAGCUCUAUAAGUGUCAUAUCAUCCAGAGACUAAUAGGGUUUAGAUUAAAGGGAUGUGGGGUGCUCCUCCGUGCAGCGUGCACAAGAGAGAAGUGUGCCAAAGAGCUUUGCAUCUGCAUAUCGUCACCCUAAAAGCUCUUCCUAUAUCUAUACAAACAAGGAAACUAGAGUAAGUCCAGUAGACAUGCCAGUUAUUUUUUCCUUGAGCUCUUAUUCAGCAACUAAAAUUUGUUUAAUGUCCUCAAAGAUCUACUUCUUUCAAUUCUAAUGCCCUUUUUAUUUAAUAAUUUGUAUGAGUGUCAUAAGAGUAUAUAGCAUUGUGUCGGUUAAUUUCACUAUUUACUUAGUCUAAGCCAUAGUUCUGUCUUUUCAGGGUUCAACGUGGGAACUCUGCUUCAACCAAGAGAUUACAUAGGCAUUAUUUGCACUUAUAGUACCCCGAAACAAGAAGAAAGAGAGUAACUCUUUUAAGAAAUAAUCCAUAGUUUAAGAAGAUAAUAGGUCAGGACUAGUGAUCUCUAAAGAAACCACGUGAUGUGAAAACCAAUGGGUGCUCACCACAGCUACUACUUAUUCUAUUUCUCCUUUAAGAUUUUUCACCAAAGCAAAAGAGAGAUGCCAACAAGGACUGGGAUAGGAAG